RNAcentral lists this ribosomal RNA (468 nucleotides) under uncultured bacterium. RNAcentral's name for it is "partial 16S ribosomal RNA". It matches the Rfam family "Bacterial small subunit ribosomal RNA", at positions 28 to 507 of the family's 1533-position model. The record is from RNAcentral.
GACGAACGCUGGCGGCGUGCUUAACACAUGCAAGUCGAACGGAAAGGCCCUGCUUUUGUGGGGUGCUCGAGUGGCGAACGGGUGAGUAACACGUGAGUAACCUGCCCUUGACUUUGGGAUAACUUCAGGAAACUGGGGCUAAUACCGGAUAGGAGCUCCUGCUGCAUGGUGGGGGUUGGAAAGUUUCGGCGGUUGGGGAUGGACUCGCGGCUUAUCAGCUUGUUGGUGGGGUAGUGGCUUACCAAGGCUUUGACGGGUAGCCGGCCUGAGAGAGUGACCGGCCACAUUGGGACUGAGAUACGGCCCAGACUCCUACGGGAGGCAGCAGUGGGGAAUAUUGCACAAUGGGCGGAAGCCUGAUGCAGCAACGCCGCGUGCGGGAUGACGGCCUUCGGGUUGUAAACCGCUUUCGCCUGUGACGAAGAGUGAGUGACGGUAAUGGGUAAAGAAGCACCGGCUAACUACGUG